UUAUAUGGUCAAGAAGAGAAGCGCAAACGGUGGAUGCCUUGGCAGUAAGAGGCGAAGAAGGACGUGGAAUCCUGCGAAAAGCUAUGGGGAGCUGGAAACGAGCGUUGAGCCAUAGAUGUCCGAAUGGGGGAACCCGGCUGCAGCGAUGCGGUCAUUUGCAUUUGAAUACAUAGGAUGCAAAGGCGAACUCGGGGAACUGAAACAUCUAAGUACCCGAAGGAAAAGAAAUCAAGAGAGAUUCUCCAAGUAGCGGCGAGCGAACGGGGAGGAGCCUGGCGUGAUUUAUUAUUGAACUGAGUAGAACAAUUUGGGAAAGUUGGCCGAAGAGGGUGAAAGCCCCGUAUACGAAGGUUUGAUGAGGAACUAGGCACGCGAACAAGUAGGCCGGGACACGUGAAAUCCUGGUUGAAGAUGGGUGGACCAUCAUCCAAGGCUAAAUACUACUUACUGACCGAUAGUGAACCAGUACCGUGAGGGAAAGGUGAAAAGAACCCCGGA
RNAcentral lists this ribosomal RNA (498 nucleotides) under Legionella pneumophila. RNAcentral describes it as "partial 23S ribosomal RNA". It matches the Rfam family "Bacterial large subunit ribosomal RNA", at positions 1 to 530 of the family's 2925-position model. The record is from RNAcentral. Lineage: Bacteria; Pseudomonadati; Pseudomonadota; Gammaproteobacteria; Legionellales; Legionellaceae.